RNAcentral lists this ribosomal RNA (253 nucleotides) under uncultured bacterium. RNAcentral's name for it is "partial 16S ribosomal RNA". It matches the Rfam family "Bacterial small subunit ribosomal RNA", at positions 524 to 776 of the family's 1533-position model. The record is from RNAcentral.
UACGUAGGGUGCGAGCGUUAAUCGGAAUUACUGGGCGUAAAGUGUGCGCAGGCGGCCGAGCAAGUCGAGUGUGAAAGCCCCGAGCUUAACUUGGGAACUGCGCUCGAAACUACUUGGCUAGAGUGUGGCAGAGGGAGGUGGAGUUCCACGUGUAGCGGUGAAAUGCGUAGAGAUGUGGAGGAACACCGAUGGCGAAGGCAGCCUCCUGGGCCAACACUGACGCUCAUGCACGAAAGCGUGGGGAGCAAACAGG